CUGCAGCUCAAGUGGUGACCACUAUUAUUGGGCCUAAAACGUUCGUAGCCGGUUUGGUAAAUGCCUGGGUAAAUCGUGUAGCUUAACUAUGCGAAUUCCGGGUAGACUGCCAAACUUGAGACCGGGAGAAGCUAGAGGUACUCCUGGGGUAGAGGUGAAAUUCUGUAAUCCUGGGGGGACCACCAGUGGCGAAGGCGUCUAGCUAGAACGGGUCUGACGGUGAGGAACGAAGCCCUGGGGCGCAAACCGGAUUAGAUACCCGAGUAGUCC
RNAcentral lists this ribosomal RNA (270 nucleotides) under uncultured archaeon. Its description in RNAcentral is "partial 16S ribosomal RNA". It matches the Rfam family "Archaeal small subunit ribosomal RNA", at positions 477 to 747 of the family's 1478-position model. The record is from RNAcentral.